GGGCCGCAGCAGGCGCGAAAACUUUACAAUGCAGGAAACUGUGAUAAGGGAACCCCGAGUGCCCGUAUACGCGGGCUGUCCAGGUGUUUAAAAAGCAUCUGAAGAAAGGGCCGGGCAAGACCGGUGCCAGCCGCCGCGGUAAUACCGGCGGCUCGAGUGGUGGCCACUAUUAUUGGGCUUAAAGCGUCCGUAGCUGGACUNAUAAGUCUCUUGGGAAAUCCGCCGGCUUAACCGGCGGGCGUCUAAGAGAUACUGUNAGUCUAGGGACCGGGAGAGGUGAGAGGUACUCCGGGGGUAGGAGUGAAAUCCUGUAAUCCCUGGGGGACCACCGAUGGCGAAGGCAUCUCACCAGAACGGCNCCGACAGUGAGGGACGAAAGCUGGGGGAGCGAACCGGAUUAGAUACCCGGGUAGUCCCAGCCGUAAACUAUGCGCGUUAGGUGUACCGGUGACCACGAGUCAC
RNAcentral lists this ribosomal RNA (462 nucleotides) under uncultured bacterium. Its description in RNAcentral is "bacterial SSU rRNA". It matches the Rfam family "Archaeal small subunit ribosomal RNA", at positions 327 to 793 of the family's 1478-position model. The record is from RNAcentral.